GACGAACGCUGGCGGCGUGCCUAACACAUGCAAGUCGAACGGAGUUAAGUGCUUCGGUAUUUAACUUAGUGGCGAACGGGUGAGUAACGCGUGAGAAGCCUGCCUAUCAGAGGGGAACAACAGUUAGAAAUGACUGCUAAUACCGCAUAUGCCAUGAGUAUCGCAUGAUACAAAUGGGAAAGGAGCAAUCCGCUGAUAGAUGGGCUUGCGUCUGAUUAGAUAGUUGGUGUGGUAACGGCAUACCAAGUCGACGAUCAGUAGCCGGACUGAGAGGUUGAACGGCCACAUUGGGACUGAGAUACGGCCCAG
Molecule: ribosomal RNA, 309 nt
Filed under: uncultured bacterium
Lineage: Bacteria
Description: bacterial SSU rRNA
Rfam family: Bacterial small subunit ribosomal RNA
Source: RNAcentral